RNAcentral lists this ribosomal RNA (423 nucleotides) under uncultured bacterium. RNAcentral describes it as "bacterial SSU rRNA". It matches the Rfam family "Bacterial small subunit ribosomal RNA", at positions 207 to 622 of the family's 1533-position model. The record is from RNAcentral.
AAGACCUUGCGCUUUUGGAGCGGCCGAUGCCUGAUUAGCUUGUUGGUAAGGUAAAAGCUUACCAAGGCUUCGAUCAGUAGCUGGUCUGAGAGGACGGCCAGCCACACUGGGACUGAGACACGGCCCAGACUCCUACGGGAGGCAGCAGUGGGGAAUUUUGGACAAUGGGGGCAACCCUGAUCCAGCCAUGCCGCGUGAGUGAAGAAGGCCUUCGGGUUGUAAAGCUCUUUCAGCCGGGAAGAAAAGGCUACGACGAAUAAUCGUAGCUCAUGACGGUACCGGAAGAAGAAGCACCGGCUAACUACGUGCCAGCAGCCGCGGUAAUACGUAGGGUGCGAGCGUUAAUCGGAAUUACUGGGCGUAAAGGGUGCGCAGGCGGUUUUGUAAGUCAGAUGUGAAAUCCCCGGGCUUAACCUGGGAACU